AAUCAACGCUGGCGGCGUGCCUCAGACAUGCAAGUCGAACGCGAAAGUUCCCUUCGGGGGGCGAGUAGAGUGGCGCACGGGUGAGUAACACGUAGGUAAUCUACCUUUGGGUGGGGAAUAACAGCCGGAAACGGCUGCUAAUACCGCAUAAUGCAGCGGCUCGACAUCGAGACAGUUGUUAAAGCGGGGGAUCGCAAGACCUCGCGCCUAAAGAGGAGCCUGCGGCGGAUUAGCUUGUUGGUGAGGUAAUGGCUCACCAAGGCAUCGAUCCGUAGCCGGCCUGAGAGGGCGGUCGGCCACACUGACACUGACAUACGGGUCAGACUCCUACGGGAGGCAGCAGUCGGGAA
Molecule: ribosomal RNA, 350 nt
Filed under: uncultured bacterium
Lineage: Bacteria
Description: bacterial SSU rRNA
Rfam family: Bacterial small subunit ribosomal RNA
Source: RNAcentral